RNAcentral lists this small RNA (34 nucleotides) under Arabidopsis thaliana (thale cress). Its description in RNAcentral is "ATSL266340". The record is from RNAcentral. Lineage: Eukaryota; Viridiplantae; Streptophyta; Magnoliopsida; Brassicales; Brassicaceae.
GGUGGAGAAACAAUAAAAAAGACGAAGAAUUAAU